Molecule: ribosomal RNA, 254 nt
Filed under: uncultured bacterium
Lineage: Bacteria
Description: partial 16S ribosomal RNA
Rfam family: Bacterial small subunit ribosomal RNA
Source: RNAcentral
UACGAAGGGGGCUAGCGUUGCUCGGAAUCACUGGGCGUAAAGCGCACGUAGGCGGAUUGUUAAGUCAGGGGUGAAAUCCUGGAGCUCAACUCCAGAACUGCCUUUGAUACUGGCGAUCUCGAGUCCGGAAGAGGUGAGUGGAACUCCUAGUGUAGAGGUGGAAUUCGUAGAUAUUAGGAAGAACACCAGUGGCGAAGGCGGCUCACUGGUCCGGUACUGACGCUGAGGUGCGAAAGCGUGGGGAGCAAACAGGG